Trifolium pratense (red clover) is the source of this 2679-nucleotide long non-coding RNA. RefSeq lists it as uncharacterized. Lineage: Eukaryota; Viridiplantae; Streptophyta; Magnoliopsida; Fabales; Fabaceae. The record is from RefSeq and is a predicted model, not a curated record. The transcript has 5 exons.
UAAUUUCGUAUAACAUGUUUCGUAUGAGUUUCUUUUUCAUCAAUCUGCAGAUUCACAACAAAAACAAGUCUUGAUCAACAUCUACAAUCAUAGCCAUCUCCUUUAACAAAACCCUAAUUUCAACACUCUGGCCAUCUUCAUCAUCUUCCACCAAUUCCCAAAACUUGUUAAACCCUAAAUCCCAAAUUGAACCCAAAAAUUAAAGGAUUGUUAUCAUUGUAAGGUUUGAAGGAGUGAUGGUAUACGCCUUCUUAUGGGUUUGUUAGUACGGGCAUAGAUAUGAAAUUUGUUGAUGAUGAGGCAUAGAAUAUGGGCGGUGUAGCUAUGAGAUGAUGAUGUGUUGGUUGGUUAGGUUUAAUAUGGGUGUAGCUAUAUGAAGUUUAUACUAUGUUUUAUGGUUUAUCUAGACUCUCAAGUUCUUCUGAGUAGUCAAGAUGCAAGUAGCAAUUAUACUUUUCAAAGUUUAGAAUUAGCUUCACUAGAGCAGAUGCAAAGAGCUAUAAGUAAUAUUGGGAAUGGAAGUCAGAAAGGGAUGAAGAAAGUUGAAAGACAGAACCAGAUUGAGUAUGUGAGUGGUUUGUAUGAUCCUUCAUUUUUCUGGAAUGAUCAAGCCUCCAAAAUUUCAAUUCUAUGAUUCAAAGACACCUUUCUUCACUUCCCCGAGAUUCUUACCACCCACCAGAGUAGAAAAAUGCAAGGUAUUCCCCGAGAUUCUUACCACCCACCAAAGUAGAAAAAUGCAAGGUAUUGAAUCUUUUUCAUCUUCUAUUUGGUAUACGCCUUCUUAUGGAUUUUGCUAUCUAGGAUACCAUGAUGAUGGGUGCUGAUUAGUGAUUACUAUCAAACUGAGACUGAAAUUGCAUCUCUGCUGGCAGAAGCAAAUGUCCUAGUUGGUGUUGGAUUAGUGCGACUUUGUUUCAAUAGGAGCUAGCUGGGUGUCGAUUGUUGAAUUCAUUAGUGAAGUUGUCUGUGUAUUGUUGUGCUUCUGCUAUGCUGGUUCUGUUUUGUGUUAUAGAGGUCCAACUUCAUGAUUUAUAUUUUGUUAGAGUAGGUGGUUGCAUUAUGGUUGUAUUGAUUUAGUACAGGGGGUUGUACUAGUAUUUUUGUUCCAUUGUUGAAAGGGAGGAGUGUAUUGUAUCAUACUGUUGUUUUGUGAACCAGCACUUUUUGAGCUUAGUUCACUUAUUAAUCUAUUUUUUCUUAUCCAAAAAAAAAAUCAUGAAGUUAAUUUAGUAGGAGAUUUGGGAGCAUAAUUCAGUACUUCUAACACUGUUUCAGAGGUAGUUUUUGGCUUCAUUUCCUUUUUAUAAUAUUUGUUAGGUUUGUAUUUCAAAUCUGAACCAGCUUGUUUGAUACAAAAACUGGAUUUCUUAUAGUGAAUUGGUUUUGAACUGAUUUUGAUUUGAACCAGUCUCAAAUUUGGUUUUGCCACCGUAAACAUCAAAAUGAGACAUUAAUAUCAGAUCUGGAAUUCUCUUAUCAUCCUCUUCCUACGUAUCCGAAUGAAAUCAGGAAUCGAUUGCGAUGCUUUAAAUGCGACGGCGUCUGGUCACAGUAGCAAAUGGGUCUCGGAGAAGAACCUUAGUGGUGAAAGUUUACCGGUGAAGUUGUGAAGGUCAUAUUUUUCUAUUGUUUCUUUCUUUCUCUCCUCUUUUAUGUUGUUUCUGAUUAUUUCGUUUCUUUUUCAAAUUGCAAUAACUGGAACCCAAAUUAAAAGCUUCACUUUCAGGUAUCAACAUAAGAAUAUCAUAUUUUUUGUAUUUUCUGUCUACAAAAAUUAUUCUGAUACUUGGAUCUGUCAUGAAUGUUGAAAUUUAUAUUUGUGCAUCCUUAGUUUUCAUCUAUCUAUACGAACUGUUGAAAUUUGUUAGAAUAUGAUGAAUGAUUUGUCUCUGUUUGAUAUGAUGUAUUAUUCUUAUACUUGGAUCUGUCAUGAAUCUUUGAUAUCUAAAGUUAGAAAGAGAUAUAUUGAGUUACUUGUUAAGAUAAUCUAGAGUAGAUGUAUAAUUUGUCAAAUGUUGAUAUGAUUUUAAAUAACUGAAAAGUUAUAUGGGUGAAAAGAGAAAAGUGGAGAUAAAAUGUUAGAGAUGCCAUACUAAUACUUUCAGCUCUUCCUGGUUCAAGAAUAGAUUCAAGUGAUUUUUAGAAGAUGCUAACAGAACUAUGAGAUAUGCAAAGGCUACUUCAACAAAGCUUUGAUUCAGACGAGGAAGAGAAACAAGUUUAAAUGAGACACUUGCAUUUUAUCAUAGGGUGGUAUUUGGUUUUUGUUUUGAGCAUACUGGUGGUAGAAGUAUUAUACUUGUGACAUUGCGUUGUUUCCAGUUAGCAAAUAGUGAUGUAAUGUAUAAACUUUGGUAGAAUUAGAAGAAUAUGAAUGAGUUGCUUCUUUACUUGAUGAGGAGAGGAAACUGCUUAAAAUUUGUAGAACCAGAAGAGUAUGCAAGAGCUACUUCUAAUUGAUGAGAAGGACAAAGCCUAUGUGUGAAGCUUUAAUUGUACUCAUUAUUUUAACUUUGAAAAAAUUUAGAGUGUUUCUAUAGUAUCACAUGUCAAUUGCAAUUGUCAUUACUUUUAUAAUGUUUCAUAUUUCAUGUAGAACUCAUGAUUUAAGAUUGAAAUGUAUGUGCAUUGGUGUAAUAUUACAUUUGAAUGAAAGAGCUCAUUAAUUUGUAUCAA